CAUAUGAAGAAGUCACGAGCCAAAACUGAAUUCCUGUUGGAGAAAUAAUUGAAGGAAUAAAAGGGCAGAAACUGACCUAAAACAGCUCAACACCACAUGUUCAAGUUUCCUACCCACAUGAAGAAAGCUAGAUGCUUUUCUCUUUUUCCUUGGAUAUAUUUUUCUGCUCCAAUAGAUCAUCAUCACUUCCAUACUUCUGCACCUUCAUGCCUUGCUUUCAUUUCAUCAUUACUCCAUCUUUUCCAUAUUUUACAAACCACUUUCAUUAUUUUUCUUCCAUUUAUCAUUUCACUCUUCUUUUUCUUCCCUAUAUAAACACCUUCUCCUCUCACUCUAAGUACAUUCCUUCAUCCAUUUCAUCUUCUUUGUCUCUCCAUUUCCUUUCCAUUUUCCCAUACAUUCCUUCAUCCAUUUCAUCUUCUUUGUCUCUCCAUUUCCUUUCCAUUUUCCCACACAUUCCUUCAUCCAUUUCAUCUUCUUUGUCUCUCCAUUUCCAUUCCAUUUUUCUCUCCAUUCUCUAGUUGCAAAAUUCUGCGUUUUCAAGUAAGAAGAAGAAGAAGAAGAAGGAGCCGGGAAUAUCAUAUCCUCCAUCGUCCACCUUGAAGGCUUGCUUCCAAGAUUCAAGAUUUCAACGUUUCAAGCACUCCAUCUCCAUCUCCAACUCACGGUGUGUACCCUCAAUCCCCGGAAUAGAACGAUCCCUAUUUGCUUAUACUACUAACGAUCUUUUCAGGGUUAAAUUAUGCGCUUGCUUUGAGCGUGUCAGCAAUAAUAUGAGUAUUGGGGGGCAAUAAUAUGGUUACUGGGUAUUAUUAGGGGCAAUAAAUUCAGGCGCAUGAAUCCGGUCACCAGUCCGGUAGCCGAAUUCCGGAUUCCGGUCAUCGGUUGCCGGAUUCCUGUCACCGGUCGCCAGAGUCGGUUCACCCGACGCCGGAGUCAAGCAAGGUCUCCAAUGACUUCUUUCUCUAAGUGACAAAGAAGGAGAGGGCAAAAUUGUCCCAAAAAUAAAUAAAAAUGAAUAAAAAAAUACUUAAUUGGGUAUUAGGGAAAUAAUCUCUUAGAGUGUUUGGGCAAGUGGGCAAUUUCUUAGAGUGUUUGGGUAAGUGGACAAUUUUUAAGCUAAAAUUAGGUAAAUGAUCAUUUCCCCUAAUUUUUAAUAUUUGAAGGUUAUUACAAUAAGUAACAAAAUACUAAUAAAACAAUUAAAAGAAAAAAAAUUUGAUAACUACCUAUCUGCACAUAUUUUUCCAUUAACCCUACAUGUACGCAGAUAAUCUCCCACUACCAUCAUCUCUAGAUAAUUUUCCACUAUUCUCAUAUGUAACUUCCCGUAUUCCUCUCUUUCAAAUAACUAGCUAGUAAGACAUAAAUAUUAUAUUUAUAAUUUAUAAAUUUUAAAAGAAAAAAAUUAAACUAAAAAUCUGCUUUACAUAUGCAUAGCAAAUGUAGGCGAGACUAGUAUACAAUUAGAUUAGACAAACCUAUUAUUUGUAUUAUUAUUUUUUUAUAUAACAAAGUAGUAAUUCUUUUACUGCGUAGACCUCGUAGCAAAACUUAAUCACCAACCAAAGAGAGGAAUGGUCUGGUGAUAUCAAAUAUUGUUGAAAAUAUACUGACGAGGAUAUGGUGUCAUGUAUUUGGAGGAGCUCUGCUAGCUUUUUCACAUUACGAUGAGGACCGAAUGAUCAAGUAUGCAGUCCGAUCAUGACAUGCAUAAUUGAUGAUCUUCGAUAUGUCAUGAAAUCCAUUUUGGAAAAGGGAAUGACCUAUUAGUGGUCGGCUACUGUGGACCUAGGCAAUCAAAACUGAAAUCUUCUCUGUGAUGAUCGAAGAAUGAUGAAAGUUAUUGCUGAUUUGCUGUGGAACACUAACUACUAGCUAGAAUAAUUAUUAGGGUCAUAUCCUCAACCCUAAAUGCAUCAUAUCGUCGACGAGUUGCAACAAGUUUAGCUGAGGUGAUAUUGGAGCCCUGGGAUUGCAACAAGUUUUCGUAAUUGCUUGUCGGUUUUGAAAGCUAUUUCAGCAGCAAUUGUAGUUUUUCAUUUCUCGAAGCUUGGACGGUUAAAUAUUUUUCUUUUAAUUUCAUAUUAUUCACAGUAAGAACACAUACUAAGAGUCUUGUAUCAUGUAACACUUGAAUUUUAAACCAUGUCGUUUUUCUCUAUAAAUCCCAAGUACUUAAACAUACACUCAAAAUUAGCAUCGUACAAAUCACCAAUGAUCCUACUUCUGUUUGUACCCACAUUUGCAUGUCCACUCCGACGUAGCUAAUGUGCAUAGUUUUUGAAUGGCUUCUAAUUACAAUGAGCCGCUCAACAAGUAAUUUGGGCUGAUAGCAAGAAAUGGUGGCCGAUGAGUAAGUGGAUACUUCAGUUGGUCCAAGAUGAGUCAGACGAAGCUAGGCCUUUGGUUAUCGGCCGGCACGUGGUCAUUGGUUUAUUGUCUAAAAGCCCAUUGGCCAAUGCUCUAAUUGGUUUCCAACCCGAACUCAACGUAGAAAGAUAAUGGCCGAUUGUCAGAGAAGCUAAUAAACGAUAAAGAUGAGGUGGAAUCUAGUAUUUCAAUCGAAUUGAAGUUCAUUAGCCGAUAAGGAGAGUUCAAUCCAAGAUAGUCUACUUCAAGAUUAGUUACAGCCGUUGAUGACGAUCAUCAAAGCCGAUCAGGAUGGAGUCUAGCGUCAAGUCAGCCGACGAUAAGUAUUGAAGCCAAAGCAAGAUAGAGUCACUGAGCCAAGAGGAGGCCGAAUUCCACUCAACUUCAAAGAGCCAAGAGAUCAGUUCAAGUCACAAAGCAGCCAAUAUAUAAAGAAGCAUCGACAGAAGACAAUACACACAACUCCAGAAACUCAAGCCAUCAAGCUUUUCUUAUUUUCGUGUUACCUUUUGCUUAGGUAGAAGUUCCGUCUGUUUCCCUAGUUUAUUUGCUCUGCUAGUUACAAUUUCAAUUGCUUUAAUUUCCUUGUAGCCUAGUAUCGAUUUUGAAUUGUUCUCUUUGUUUUCUUUCAAACAAUAGUUAAUAAUUUUCAGCCAUUCCAUAUUUCA
This is a long non-coding RNA of Rosa rugosa (rugosa rose), 3041 nucleotides long. RefSeq lists it as uncharacterized. Lineage: Eukaryota; Viridiplantae; Streptophyta; Magnoliopsida; Rosales; Rosaceae. The record is from RefSeq and is a predicted model, not a curated record. The transcript is spliced from 2 exons.